Molecule: ribosomal RNA, 506 nt
Filed under: uncultured bacterium
Lineage: Bacteria
Description: partial 16S ribosomal RNA
Rfam family: Bacterial small subunit ribosomal RNA
Source: RNAcentral
GAUGAACGCUAGCUACAGGCUUAACACAUGCAAGUCGAGGGGUAACGAGAGGAAAGCUUGCUUUCCCUGUCGACGACCGGCGCACGGGUGAGUAACGCGUAUCCAACCUGCCCCCAACUAAGGAAUAACCUUGCGAAAGUAAGACUAAUACCUUAUAAUUUCCUCAGAUGUCAUCUGACGAGGAAUAAAGAUUUAUCGGUUGUGGAUGGGGAUGCGUCUGAUUAGCUUGUUGGCGGGGUAACGGCCCACCAAGGAAACGAUCAGUAGGGGUUCUGAGACGAAGGUCCCCCACAUUGGAACUGAGACACGGUCCAAACUCCUACGGGAGGCAGCAGUGAGGAAUAUUGGUCAAUGGGCGGAAGCCUGAACCAGCCAAGUAGCGUUCAUGAUGACGGCCCUAUGGGUUGUAAACUGCUUUUAUACAGGAAUAAAGUUAGCCACGUGUGGUUAUUUGUAGGUACUGUAUGAAUAAGGACCGGCUAAUUCCGUGCCAGCAGCCGCCGUAA